This is a long non-coding RNA of Biomphalaria glabrata, 402 nucleotides long. RefSeq lists it as uncharacterized. The record is from RefSeq and is a predicted model, not a curated record. Lineage: Eukaryota; Metazoa; Mollusca; Gastropoda; Planorbidae. The transcript has 2 exons.
AACAUUAAAUGGUCGGUAACAAUGAGAGGAAUCGAUUACAGCAUUAACGGAGAGUGCAUGAACUUGUACACGGCGACCAUCACCUUGCGUACGCCCAAUAUCCAAGUAGAGCAGAGUGGACCUUACGCAUGUUUCAUAUUUACGUCUACUUCCGUUUGGCUACAUGAAGGGGCAACUCUGACUGUCCGACCUACAAAAAACACAUCAACAUUCGUUACAUGGUAUGAUGAAACAACUGGUAGAGUGAACAUAUCAAAAGCCAGACGUGCACAGUUCCACACAGGGGAUGUCAUCAAACUCAUAGCCCUCUUUGUCAUUUGCAUUUAUUUAAUAAAAACAGUGUAGAGAAUGAUUGAUUAGAAAAAUGUGAGAUCCCUUGAUUAAAUCUAUUUUAAUAAACCA